This is a non-coding RNA of Megalops atlanticus (tarpon), 74 nucleotides long. The record is from the annotation of a GenBank genome assembly. NCBI's taxonomy places the organism in Eukaryota, Metazoa, Chordata, Actinopteri, Elopiformes, Megalopidae.
CAAGUAGUGGCGCAAUGUAUAAUGUGUCUGACUAUGGCUCAGAAGAUUCUAGGUUUGAAUCCUGGCUGGCUUGA